Molecule: ribosomal RNA, 253 nt
Filed under: uncultured bacterium
Lineage: Bacteria
Description: partial 16S ribosomal RNA
Rfam family: Bacterial small subunit ribosomal RNA
Source: RNAcentral
UACGAAGGGGGCUAGCGUUGUUCGGAAUUACUGGGCGUAAAGCGCGCGCAGGCGGCUAUCCAAGUCAGUGGUGAAAGCCCGGAGCUCAACUCCGGAACUGCCAUUGAAACUGUUUAGCUUGAGGACGAGAGAGGUGAGUGGAAUUCCCAGUGUAGAGGUGAAAUUCGUAGAUAUUGGGAAGAACACCGGUGGCGAAGGCGGCUCACUGGCUCGUAUCUGACGCUCAGGCGCGAUAGCGUGGGGAGCGAACAGG